This 2291-nucleotide long non-coding RNA is filed under the name Homo sapiens (human). RNAcentral's name for it is "non-protein coding SOX2-OT:76". The stretch from base 590 to 865 matches the Rfam family "SOX2 overlapping transcript exon 3". The record is from RNAcentral. Lineage: Eukaryota; Metazoa; Chordata; Mammalia; Primates; Hominidae.
GGGGACGCGGAGGAGAAGGAAAGUCGCUCAAGCAGUGGACAGAGCGGAGAAAGCGACUUCGGUGAAUGAAGGAGGGAAGAAAGGAGAGACAGAGAAAAUAUGGAUUUCCUCAUGGUUGUGAUUCCUCUUCACUCUUUUGAAUUUGGAAGGAUGGCAUACACAUCUGAAAAAUACCACUACUUCCUUCAUUGGACUGCAAGGUAUUUCUGUUUGGAAAAGUAAUGGAGUCCAGUCAACUUCAUUGAUCGCCAAGGACUGUCAAAAUUAUAAAACUUGCUGUGGAGCUCUGACAUGCCAGAAGCCGCUAGAAAAAGAAGUUUGACAUUCAGAAACUUAUCAAGAGGUUCUACUCUUUGGAUAGAGACCAAAAUCAUACUUUGAAUGAUAUGCAAUGCAAGACUCCCAAGAUUCUGGGCAGUGGCAGGGAGGUGCAGCUUCUAGUCUGCCGCAUGAUCACAAUGUUUUCUCUCUCCUUUCUGCUGGUGUUUCUUCCCCAUCUUGUCUCCAACUAAAGCCUGACAGGUUUCUUCGGAAAAGUGGCCAUCCAUGGAAUGAAUGAAAUGUUCUCUUUCUAUUCCAGGGAUUGCAGUGGCAAAGCUAGGCUAGGUCUUGGAGGCUGGUGUAAGGCGAUGUGGGUGAAGGCAGGAGGCUGAUGGAAAGACUGGGGGGAAGAAAAGCCGAAAUGGAUUCACGGUGCCUUGGAUGAAGGACGAGAGGGGAACUGCAAGCUCCUUCAACUGGUUCUGUCCGGUGAGAAGUGAUCAAGCUUGGGCUGACAAGAGGCUCAGGGAGCCCUCACGUUCUUUCGCUUUUUUACCUGCCAAUCAAACUGCUACAAGACAACACCCUGAUCUGGCAUGGACAUCGCGGGUCCAAGCCUGUAGCCCCAAAUCGGAUAAUCUCUGCAGCUGAUAACAAGCAAAAGAGAAGCCAGGCAACAGCCAUAUUAAAGAAGAAAACAAUCAACUCUGAGAUCCAACUUAGAAAUAAUGUUUCAUUCAAGAUAAGGCUCGUGGCUUAGGAGAUUGUGACCUGGCUUGCAUCAUUCUAAGACUUCUAUCGUCUGUUUUCAAAACCCAAGGAGGACCUCCUUUUCUGUGUGAUAGUUCCUCAUGCUUUGCCAGCCACUGGGUCUUUAAGGAAGCUUGCCAAGAGUUCCCGGCUGGGAAGGACAGUUCGAGUUCAUCAUAGACAAUGAGCUGGCACCACAGUUUAAGUGACUCACCAACCUGGUUGCCCACUUCAAAAUGUCAAGAACCACACUAUCUAAUUGAAAGAACUGUGUUUUAGCAAAGUGUAAUUGGAUCGCCUGGCAAGAUCAUCUCAAACUAUGUCUCUGACCUUGCCUUUCAGUGGCUAUUUUGAGCACAAGAGGAGAAAGGAAAUGAUUCCUGAAUUAUAUCUUGUUUUUAAAAAUUAAGAUUAAUUAAUACUUGGUUUUAUGUUCAUUCCAUUGUAGGAACUUAGUGAUUAUUACAAAACAGUCAAAAUAGGUCAUAGCAAAAUGAACGUUUAAGAUUAGGUUAAAACAUUCCUCUGAAAUUUUAGUAUUCACUUUUGAAGUGUCAAUUACUAUAUUUCUGUAAUUUCUCAUUUUUUUCUUGGCUUAGAGUCAAGAUGAAAAAUGAUAUUUGAAUCAAAGACAUUGUUUUGUUAUAUAGCCACUCCUUUCUAAAAUGCAAAUCCACCCUCCCCUCACCAAUGCUUUAUUCUUUGUGCGCGCACACACACACACACACACACACACACACACACACACACACAGACAUACACAGAACCAGCACCCAAAUGGUAGAGGAGGUCCUUCCAAGACUUCUAGGACCUGGAUCAUGUAAGCAGUAGAUGAGAAAAUGAAGUAAGAGAUAUAGAGUAAUAACAAUAAAAGUCAAUGAUUUCAUUUUACAAAAAAGUCAUUGUGUAGUACUCAGAUAUUUUUAAGAGCAAGUAUUAUUAUGACUAAAGUAUAUUAUACUUCUAAAUUAUUAUGAUUCUCAUCUAAUUUCAAGCCACACAUAGGCGCCAUUUGAAAGCAUUUUGUGUUACAACCUAUCAACAAAAAUCAACUAAUAGUUUUAUAACGUGCAUAGGUUUACCCCAUGGGGAAUUAAAAUUUUUAUCUGCAAGUAUUUCUGUUGUUGUGAGACUUUAGGACAAGACAACAUUUGGUGUUAACAUAGAAGAAUAUUCUAUGGCUUUUUUAGCUUUAAAGUUCAUUACUCUAAAAUAAAGUACACGUGGUAUUUUUUUCUUCCUAGUGUUCUCUUAUUAUAUGUAGAGUAUUUUCGGUUGUU